This 202-nucleotide long non-coding RNA is filed under the name Elaeis guineensis (African oil palm). Its description in RNAcentral is "long non-coding RNA (EGUI_LNC001234)". The record is from RNAcentral. Lineage: Eukaryota; Viridiplantae; Streptophyta; Magnoliopsida; Arecales; Arecaceae.
UGGUAGUAGGAGCGUAGCAUCAUGAACAUCAUCGGGGCAUUUUUCUUUUAUUGCAGUUUGGUGACCCAAGGGCUAAGUACGAGUUGAUAUAUACCAUUUUUUCUUUUGGAGAGACAACGCUCCCCCAUCAAAUUUAUUAGAAGUUGUGUAAAAGUACAAGACUGAUUGUUUUGAUAGAUUGAUGUUUGACAAUUAGGAUGGG